AUGGAGGGGAGCAGCCCCAUCACCCCACAGCUCCCUCCCUGCUGCCUGGUGGGCUGGGGACAAGCAGAGCAUCCCCAGGGGAUCCCCGUCUCCACCGGGACCCAUCCUCAUCCCAAGCCCACUCGCCCCCAUCCCAUCCCCUGCUCUCUCGGGGGGCGCGCACAGCCCUGGCGCUGCUCCCACCUUCCUGCUCUGCAGCCUUUCCUGGGGGCCGCUUGGCUCGGUGAGCCGAACCCUCCCCGGGGGGUUGUUUUGUUUUGUUGUGUUCUGUUCUGCAGCCAGGGAGCCGGGAGGACGGCGGGGCUGGGGGAAGCGCAGGCGGCUCCUGCUCGCCUGGGACUUCCCCGAGGACACCGCAGCCGGCACCUGCCCCGCUCCCGGGGCAUGAGCCUCGUCGGCAUCGCGGCCGCCAGCACCACCUCCUCCUCCACACCCAGAUGUGGCCUCAGGACCGGCGCUGGUGGCACCUCGGCUCCCGACGUCCCUCGUCCCAGCUGCAGAGCCACCGGGGGCCUCCUGCAGGGAAGGUCAGAGCAGCUGAGCCGGGCUGAAAAAUCUGCAAGCGUACAGCGCGCUAAGAGGGCUGUCCCCGUGCCUGGAGCUGGCUGGGAAAGGAGGCUGGAGGAGGUGGCAGGAAGGAUGCACAGCCCCUCUCCGCAGCACCAGCUCUCUGCCACGCUGCCAGCCCGCCUGCAGCAUGCAGCCAGCCCAGUCCUUCAGCACCUGUGUGUGAUCUCCCUGUGGAGGAGAGCAGAUGCUGGCCACAGCCAGGCCGUGGAGGAACCAGAGGGAGAUGCCACCCAUGCAGGGGACGAGCGGGGAGACCUGGCACCAGAGCCCAGCCUGGCCUCACGGAGAAGCCCCAAGGCCGGCGAGCCUCCUGCUGCAGAAAGGGCCAUGGGGCACAGCCACCUCUGA
Molecule: long non-coding RNA, 918 nt
Filed under: Anser cygnoides (Swan goose)
Lineage: Eukaryota; Metazoa; Chordata; Aves; Anseriformes; Anatidae
Description: lncRNA (ENSACDG00005000042.1)
Source: RNAcentral